Molecule: non-coding RNA, 48 nt
Organism: Schistosoma margrebowiei
Lineage: Eukaryota; Metazoa; Platyhelminthes; Trematoda; Strigeidida; Schistosomatidae
Source: Rfam
AUUCAGCUGACGUGUCCCAAAAAGGACGAAUCGAACGUCAAACUGGAU